UUCCAGACUCCUACGGGAGGCAGCAGUGAGGAAUAUUGGUCAAUGGCCGGAAGGCUGAACCAGCCAAGUCGCGUGAGGGAAUAAGGCCCUAUGGGUCGUAAACCUCUUUUGUCAGGGAGCAAAGGCGUCCACGUGUGGACGAGAGGAGAGUACCUGAAGAAAAAGCAUCGGCUAACUCCGUGCCAGCAGCCGCGGUAAUACGGAGGAUGCGAGCGUUAUCCGGAUUUAUUGGGUUUAAAGGGUGCGUAGGCGGGCUUUUAAGUCAGCGGUAAAAAUGCGGGGCUCAACCCCGUCCGGCCGUUGAAACUGGGGGCCUUGAGUGGGCGAGAAGAAGGCGGAAUGCGUGGUGUAGCGGUGAAAUGCAUAGAUAUCGCGCAGAACUCCGAUUGCGAAGGCAGCAUGCCGGCUCCACACUGACGCUGAGGCACGAAAGCGUGGGUAUCGAACAGGAUUAGAUACCCCUGUAC
Molecule: ribosomal RNA, 467 nt
Filed under: uncultured bacterium
Lineage: Bacteria
Description: bacterial SSU rRNA
Rfam family: Bacterial small subunit ribosomal RNA
Source: RNAcentral